UGUCGACAAAUAUUGAUAAUUUUUUUCAUCACAUUCAACUAAGCAACACCAAGUUCUUUCAUGGCCUUGGCAACUCAAGCCUACGUCUUUACCCCAGCCCUCUUUGGCGACAAUCGGGUAGCAAUGCUGUGGAAUCAAUCCUCCCUCAGUCGCUUGCAUCAUUCAUUAGUCCUAGGCCGAUCAAGUCCACCAUGGCACAUAGUCCUAUAAGGGCCAUGGCCGAGGAAGCGCCUGCCACGAAAGAGGUGAAGAAAGAGGCUCCGAUCGACCUCACUCCUCCGGAACUGGACCUGAACACCCCAUCACCAAAAUUUUUGGUGGUAGCACCAGUGGACUAUUGCACCUAAGGAACAAAUUUCUGAAAUGCCAACUGGUGGCGCCGCCGUUAUGCGGCAGGGACCUAACCUAUUGAAAUUGGCUAGGAAAGAAUAGUGUUUGGCUCUUGGGACUAGAUUGAGGUCCAAGUACAAGAUUAAUUACCAAUUUUACAGAGUUUCCUAAUGGUGAGGUGCAAUAUUCGCACCCUAAGGAUGGUGUCUAUCCUGAGAAUGUGAACCUUGAUCGCCUUUAUAUAGAACAAAACGAAGAAAACAUAAUAAGACCAAACCACAGGUAAAAAAAUCAACUCAAUACAUUAACAAAUGGCAACGUCUAGUUAUUAUUUUACAAAAUUAAUAAGCUGAUCGAAUGUUAAAUCUUGUCAUAUGUGGAAUAAAAUGUUGGGGAUUUUAAUAAAGGAGAGAUGUUUGGGAUCCUUUGCACAUUAACAUCUCCUUAAUUUUUAGAUGGUUAAUGUCCGUUUGGACGGAAGCGUGAUAAAGCAAUGUUGCGUGGAAGUAGAAGAUCCUUGGCUCGUGCGUGUCUCAUACACUUUGGUCGUACUUCAAGAAUUUAGGGUAGAGCUAAUUUCAUCCCUAUUAAGUUGAGAAAUUUAAUCUUAUUUGACUUUACAUAAAUAUCAACAUAUUUAGCUCAAUCUUUCUAAGUAGAACUUCGAGUUAAUUGUUCCAAUGGUCACUAAACUUAUAUCUAUGUUUUCGAUUCUUUACUAAAAUUUAAGAUAUUGAGUUUUGACCACUCAACUUAUCCAAAAGUUGGACGUUACUAUAUAACUUCCGUUUCAAACUAUUAACAAAAUUGGUAACGUGGCUAACAGAAUAUUACUUAUGGCUCCUUGUUACGUCGUUAAACUUUGAGGUGGUGAAAUUUUGGCCACUAAACUUUGCAAAAGUCCUCGAGUGCUCACAACACUUUGAAAAAAUCUUUUAUUACUCACUAAAUUUUGAUAUGACCGAAUUUUGGGCAUUGAAUUUUGAUGUAGUCGAAGAUUGGCCACUAAAUUUAAAAAAGUUUUCUAUGCUGACAAUAAAUUUGGAUUUAAUUAAAAUUCCUAGUCAAAUUUUGGAUUAAAAUUUGAAGUUAAUUCAAUUUUAACAACAAAUUUACUGUUUGUUUCGUUGCAAGUAGUAGUCACUUUAUUUGUACAACUUUGCAAGCGUUGUUGAUCUCACGAGGAAUGAUUACUCAAUUACACAAAAGUUAAAUUUAAUUUUAAUAUAUAUUUGUAAAAUUUUAAGAUAUUUUCGUCAUUUGCAAAAUUUAAAUUUAUUGUGUGUUUCAUUAUCAAAAUUUGAAUUUUGCAACGAAUCACAAAAAAAGUUUGUUGUUAAAAUUAAAUUAAUCGAAAUUUCAAUAAUUAAUUUUAAUUAAAUCAAAGUUUAUUGUGAGCAAUAUAAGAUGUUUUUCAAUGUUUAGUGGUCAAAAUAGACGUUUUUCAAUGUUUAGUGGCCAAUAUUCGACAACAUCAAAGUUCAAUGAGCAAUAGAAGACUUUUUCAAAGUUUAAUGGGUAAUCGAAGAUGUUUUUCUAAGUUUAGUGAUCCAAAUUCAACCACCUCAAAGUUUAAAGGCAUGAUAGGGUGCCAUAUAUGCAUUUCGUUAAUUAUGUCACCAAUUUCGUUAAGAAAUUGAAAAAGAAAUUAUGACAGUGAGUAACGUCUAACAUUUGGAUAAGUCGAGUUGUUAAAAUUCGACAUUUUAAAUUUCAAUGAACAACCGGAGAUUUGACAUAACUCUAGUUACCAUUGGUGCAAUCGGAGAUUUGAUUGCAGAGUUGAUUGCAAAGGACAGGAGUAAGGUAAUCUCAGCCUUGCUGACAGUCGCAGUGUGAGGGUUCGAUUCCUGAGAUAUGAAAUUGGAUUCUGUGUGGGUACCAGUGUACGGGCAAGCUCUUGUUCCCUAAAUUGCUGGGACACAUCCCUUACGAUGCUCCAGGGGUGGGGCGGUGAGGGCCCUCAAGGUUGGGGUUCAACAUAUAUAUAUAUAUAUAUAUUUUAAAUCUACAACUCGAGAUUUCCAUACAGUGAGCUAAGCAUUUGAAGAAUGACACGUGGCAAUAUAUGCAACAUUCAAUCUUUGGCUUAGACUGCCUAUCAGAAUCAUACACUCUUAUUGGUUUAAACCAUAUCACAUUAUCUACUGUCCGAACUUGUGAAAAAAUAAAAAUCCAACUAAAAAAUGUAAACCUUUUUGUUGACAAAUAUUGAUAAUUUUUUUCAUCACAUUCAACUAAGCAACACCAAAUUCUUUCAUGGCCAUGGCAACUCAAGCCUACCUCUUUAUCCCAGCCCUCUUUGGCGACGAUCGGGUGGCAAUGCUGUGGAAUCAAUCCUCUCUCAGUCGCUUGCAUCAUUCAUCAGUCCUAGGCCGAUCAAGUCCAUCGUGGCACACAAUCCUAUAAGGGCCAUGACCGAGGAAGCGCCUGCCACGAAAGAGGUGAAGAAAGAGGCUCCGAUCAACUUCACUCCUCCGGAACUGGACCUGAAUACCCCAUCACCAAAAUUUUUGGUGGUAGCACCAGUGGACUAUUGCACCUAAGGAACAAAUUUCUGAAAUGCCAACUGGUGGCGCCGCCGUUAUGCGGCGGGGACCUAACCUAUUGAAAUUGGCUCGGAAAGAAUAGUGUUUGGCUCUUGGGACUAGAUUGAGGUCCAAGUACAAGAUUAAUUACCAAUUUUACAGAGUUUCCUAAUGGUGAGGUGCAAUAUUGGCACCCUAAGGAUGGUGUCUAUCCUGAGAAUGUGAACCUUGAUCGCCAAGGAGUCGAGAAGAACAUGCGAUCCAUAGGUAAAAAUGUCAGCUCGAUCGAGGUCUAAUUUACUGGUAAGCAAGUGUGACAUAUGAGGCGACGGAAAUUAAUUAUGUGACGCGAUUCUGUAAUUAAUUGAUCUUCAUCUCACUUUUAUUUUAUCGAUGCCGCAAACAUUGGUUGGACUAUUUAAUGUUUGUAUGUUAAUUUUCUAUUAGCACUUUGCUUUCUAAGAUACUAUCAAACUUAUAUAUUAUACUCUUAAAGCAACUCCAACCCAUAUACCAUUCCAUCAUUUUCUACUAAAUUUUACCAUUUUUCACCAAAAUACC
Molecule: long non-coding RNA, 3419 nt
Filed under: Olea europaea subsp. europaea
Lineage: Eukaryota; Viridiplantae; Streptophyta; Magnoliopsida; Lamiales; Oleaceae
Source: RNAcentral